RNAcentral lists this small nuclear RNA (78 nucleotides) under Cervus elaphus hippelaphus. It matches the Rfam family "U4 spliceosomal RNA", at positions 1 to 78 of the family's 138-position model. From Rfam's summary of the family: U4 small nuclear RNA (U4 snRNA) is a component of the major U2-dependent spliceosome. The structure of U4 snRNA from yeast and human has been reported. Lineage: Eukaryota; Metazoa; Chordata; Mammalia; Artiodactyla; Cervidae. The record is from RNAcentral.
AGCUUUGCGCAGUGGCAGUAUCAUAGUCAAUGAGGUUUAUCCGAGGCGUGAUUAUUGCUAAUUGAAAACUUUUCCCAA